Long non-coding RNA from Hibiscus syriacus, 223 nucleotides. RefSeq lists it as uncharacterized. The transcript is spliced from 3 exons. Lineage: Eukaryota; Viridiplantae; Streptophyta; Magnoliopsida; Malvales; Malvaceae. The record is from RefSeq and is a predicted model, not a curated record.
AAAAGGCAGAAACUUUUGGAAGAUAUUUUGUGAAGAAGGUAAGUGUAUAUUCUGAUGAAUGCCCAUGUUGUAUAGGAUUUUGAAUUUCCGUUGAGAAAGGGAAUUACAUCAAGCAAUUCAACUCUGUUGUAUGUUCUUUAAAAACAUGGAACUUGUAACCAAAUAACAGUAGUAUCUGGUUCGGUUCCGAUUCAUUUGUUUUAAGCAAUACACUUCUCUCUGA